UCGAAUGCGUGAAGUGUACAAUUACCUUUCUGAUAACAAUUAUCCACCAUCCUACUCCAUGCUACAGAAGCUAACUUUAAGAAGAUAUGCUUCAAAUUUUCCAUUCAAAUAGUGCAACUGUGGUCUCAAAAGGCUGUUGGACAAAUUUAAGCUAUUGUCGGUCCUUACAAGCUGUAUGACACUUCAUUUGAAACUCUGAAAGAAUCCGCCUGGUUGUCAGAUGAGGUAAGGAAAUAUCUAAUUCAAACCAUUUGAACAGCCCUUUUUCAUGACAUAAUAAUACUGAUAAAAUACCUUCUGCUUAUACCUUUUGUGUGUGUGUAACAUUAAGUGAUUGAUUCAUACCUCCAUGUAUUAACAAACACACUAAAGAUCAGAAUACAAGAACAUGAGAUUGUGCUGUGCCCUUACAAUACUGGAAGUCACUGGAUUCUUGUGAUUGUGAAAAUGUGUGAAAAUACUGUGGUCCUGAUUAAUCCACUGGGCGAGGAGGACAAGUAUAGCCGACGAAUUUUAAGAA
Acipenser ruthenus (sterlet) is the source of this 520-nucleotide long non-coding RNA. RefSeq lists it as uncharacterized. The record is from RefSeq and is a predicted model, not a curated record. The transcript is spliced from 4 exons. Lineage: Eukaryota; Metazoa; Chordata; Actinopteri; Acipenseriformes; Acipenseridae.